AAUCUAUUGUCGUGACUGUAUCCACCGCCACCAUUGUUUGGCUACUGAUACUGACUCCACCUGCGAUUUGCUAAACAACAUCAUUACUCAGAUGAAGUUCAAUUGUGACUGCAACAAAUACAUUCCUUACUGCGAGUUUCUGGGACACCAGCGUGAGUGCCCGUCUGCCAAAUAUUCCACUCAUCCUGCCCGGUGGAGGAAGUGCAUCCUGAAGACAAGUUUCCUUCAGUGUUCCGAAUGCAAGGUUCCUCUCCGGCCUCCCAUUUUCUCGCUUUGGUUUCAUAACCGUCUCAUUUGUAGCGCCUGCUACCGUGCUGAUAUCGGCACCUACCGUCACUGUACUGAGCUCGAGUACCUCCUCCAAGGUAUAACGGUCAAAUGCAUUGCCUGCAAACA
Panicum virgatum (switchgrass) is the source of this 396-nucleotide long non-coding RNA. RefSeq lists it as uncharacterized. Lineage: Eukaryota; Viridiplantae; Streptophyta; Magnoliopsida; Poales; Poaceae. The record is from RefSeq and is a predicted model, not a curated record. The transcript is spliced from 2 exons.